CUCCCUCUGACAUACAUUGUGAAACUGUCUCUUUUACCAGUCUGUGUGUGUACACAUCACCUGUGCAAAGAGUUUUCCUGUAUUAGAGCUGAACCAAGGUGGUCAAUUUACAAAGCAGGUGUGGGUGAGGAUUUAGCAUUUCUAUUGCUUCAUGUAUGCAUUCCUAUUGUUUUCCUGAUUUCAAAUAGGCCAAUCCUGUGGUUGAAUGAAUGUGGAAAGCUUAUAAUGUCAAAUUAAUUAAACAUCUCUUUGUAGUGUGCAAUGACACAAUGAAGUGGAAUACUGAACCUUGAUUUACAGUGUGCUCUAUCCGAAUAUUAGUAAUUUCUGAGGACACACUUAGAAGUUACUGUAUUUGAUCUCAUGCUGCGUUCAUUUAAUGUGGAGAAGACAGGCCUCCUGAUGAAAUCUGUUUUGGCCCCAAGGUUCAGCUGUUGGUGUUUGACCACAAGAGGGCAGUGUGUGUGUGAAUAAGCACCAUAUAGGGCAGGAUCCACGUUCAGCAGAGGCAAGAGGCUGUGCAGAAAGCUUCAGAAACUUAGUGUCUGAGGAAGGAGGAGCCUCACAGAAUGGAUGGGUAUCCAGCCUGGGGCUUAAAAGUGAUGAUGGGCAGAACCGUGAGGACGUUUGCUGGACAUUUCCUCGUGUUCCUGUGGCUGCGGAUGCACUGUGUGAGUGGAGCAGAGCAGGUGGAACAGAGCCCUGCUUUCCAGAAUGUCCGGGAGGGAGACAGCUGUGUCAUCACCUGCACGUACACAGACAGUGCCACCAGCUACUUCUAUUGGUAUAAGCAAGAACAUGGAGAAGGUCUCAGGUUGCUUAUAAACAUUCUCUCAAAUAUGGACAAGAAAGAAGACCAAAGAGUCACUGUGCUGAUGAAGAAGAAGGAGAAGCAGGUCACCCUGCACAUCUCAGCUGCCCAUCCUGCCGACUCAGCCACCUACUUCUGUGCAGCAAGUGCACAGUGCUCCCCCUGCACCUGCAGCCUGUACCCAAACCUACACGAGGGCUGAAGACAUACUUGCUUCUGUCCUUUGAGUGAAGAAUUGACCUAUGUUUGACUUUUAUUUGUGUAGUUCAAAAUAUGCCCUUCUUGAAAGUCAGCUUCAAAGCCACCCAAAUGAAUUUGAGAAUGUUUUUGGUGAGCUUCUGAGGACAGUUACUGAUCUCUAGUUGAAGUCUAAGACUGUAGGAUUGACUCACUGGUGAUAUUUCUACACCCUGAUAUCAAAGUCAGUGAAUUCUGUUCUUGAUGAAAGGAUUCUUAUCUUUUUUU
This is a non-coding RNA of Ochotona princeps (American pika), 1276 nucleotides long. The record is from the annotation of a RefSeq genome assembly. NCBI's taxonomy places the organism in Eukaryota, Metazoa, Chordata, Mammalia, Lagomorpha, Ochotonidae.